GAUGAACGCUGGCGGCGUGCCUAAUACAUGCAAGUCGAACGGUCGACUUCGGUCGAUAGUGGCGAACGGGUGAGUAACGCGUUGGUGACCUGCCCCGAAGAGUGGGAUAACAGGCCGAAAGGCCUGCUAAUACCGCAUGAGCUAGCCAUAGUUUAGGAAAUGGUUAGGAAAGGAGAAAUCCGCUUUGGGAGGGGCCUGCGUCCCAUCAGCUAGUUGGUAAGGUAACGGCUUACCAAGGCGAUGACGGGUAGGGGACCUGAGAGGGUGACCCCCACAAUAGGACGUAGAACAACGUCCGACUACACCUACCGGGAGGGCUCG
This 321-nucleotide ribosomal RNA is filed under the name uncultured Chloroflexota bacterium. RNAcentral's name for it is "bacterial SSU rRNA". It matches the Rfam family "Bacterial small subunit ribosomal RNA", at positions 28 to 353 of the family's 1533-position model. Lineage: Bacteria; Bacillati; Chloroflexota. The record is from RNAcentral.